GGUCUAAUAGUGUAGUGGUUAUCACAGCGGAUUCUGAGACAUUUGAUUUCCGCUAACCCAGGUUCGAGUCCUGGUUAGACCU
This is a non-coding RNA of Marasmius fiardii PR-910, 82 nucleotides long. The record is from the annotation of a GenBank genome assembly. NCBI's taxonomy places the organism in Eukaryota, Fungi, Basidiomycota, Agaricomycetes, Agaricales, Marasmiaceae.